This 346-nucleotide ribosomal RNA is filed under the name uncultured bacterium. Its description in RNAcentral is "bacterial SSU rRNA". It matches the Rfam family "Bacterial small subunit ribosomal RNA", at positions 8 to 334 of the family's 1533-position model. The record is from RNAcentral.
AGGGUUUGAUUCUGGCUCAGGAUGAACGCUGGCGGCGUGCCUAACACAUGCAAGUCGAGCGAAGCACUUUACUUAGAUUUCUUCGGAAUGACGAGUUUAGUGACUGAGCGGCGGACGGGUGAGUAACGCGUGGGUAACCUGCCUCAUACAGGGGGAUAACAGUUAGAAAUGACUGCUAAUACCGCAUAAGACCACAGCUUCGCAUGGAGCAGUGGUAAAAACUCCGGUGGUAUGAGAUGGACCCGCGUCUGAUUAGCUAGUUGGUAAGGUAACGGCUUACCAAGGCGACGAUCAGUAGCCGACCUGAGAGGGUGACCGGCCACAUUGGGACUGAGACACGGCCCAA